UGGGCCGUAGCCAAGCGGUAAGGCAACGGGUUUUGGUCUCGUCAUGCGAAGGUUCGAAUCCUUCCGGCCCAGCCA
Molecule: transfer RNA, 75 nt
Filed under: Lacicoccus alkaliphilus
Lineage: Bacteria; Bacillati; Bacillota; Bacilli; Caryophanales; Salinicoccaceae
Also listed under: 2 other names
Description: tRNA-Gln(ttg)
Rfam family: tRNA
About the family: Transfer RNA (tRNA) molecules are approximately 80 nucleotides in length.
Source: RNAcentral